RNAcentral lists this ribosomal RNA (2932 nucleotides) under Escherichia coli. RNAcentral describes it as "23S ribosomal RNA". It matches the Rfam family "Bacterial large subunit ribosomal RNA". The record is from RNAcentral. Lineage: Bacteria; Pseudomonadati; Pseudomonadota; Gammaproteobacteria; Enterobacterales; Enterobacteriaceae.
GGGUUGUGAGGUUAAGCGACUAAGCGUACACGGUGGAUGCCCUGGCAGUCAGAGGCGAUGAAGGACGUGCUAAUCUGCGAUAAGCGUCGGUAAGGUGAUAUGAACCGUUAUAACCGGCGAUUUCCGAAUGGGGAAACCCAGUGUGUUUCGACACACUAUCAUUAACUGAAUCCAUAGGUUAAUGAGGCGAACCGGGGGAACUGAAACAUCUAAGUACCCCGAGGAAAAGAAAUCAACCGAGAUUCCCCCAGUAGCGGCGAGCGAACGGGGAGCAGCCCAGAGCCUGAAUCAGUGUGUGUGUUAGUGGAAGCGUCUGGAAAGGCGCGCGAUACAGGGUGACAGCCCCGUACACAAAAAUGCACAUACUGUGAGCUCGAUGAGUAGGGCGGGACACGUGGUAUCCUGUCUGAAUAUGGGGGGACCAUCCUCCAAGGCUAAAUACUCCUGACUGACCGAUAGUGAACCAGUACCGUGAGGGAAAGGCGAAAAGAACCCCGGCGAGGGGAGUGAAAAAGAACCUGAAACCGUGUACGUACAAGCAGUGGGAGCACAGAGCAAUCUGUGUGACUGCGUACCUUUUGUAUAAUGGGUCAGCGACUUAUAUUCUGUAGCAAGGUUAACCGAAUAGGGGAGCCGAAGGGAAACCGAGUCUUAACUGGGCGUUAAGUUGCAGGGUAUAGACCCGAAACCCGGUGAUCUAGCCAUGGGCAGGUUGAAGGUUGGGUAACACUAACUGGAGGACCGAACCGACUAAUGUUGAAAAAUUAGCGGAUGACUUGUGGCUGGGGGUGAAAGGCCAAUCAAACCGGGAGAUAGCUGGUUCUCCCCGAAAGCUAUUUAGGUAGCGCCUCGUGAAUUCAUCUCCGGGGGUAGAGCACUGUUUCGGCAAGGGGGUCAUCCCGACUUACCAACCCGAUGCAAACUGCGAAUACCGGAGAAUGUUAUCACGGGAGACACACGGCGGGUGCUAACGUCCGUCGUGAAGAGGGAAACAACCCAGACCGCCAGCUAAGGUCCCAAAGUCAUGGUUAAGUGGGAAACGAUGUGGGAAGGCCCAGACAGCCAGGAUGUUGGCUUAGAAGCAGCCAUCAUUUAAAGAAAGCGUAAUAGCUCACUGGUCGAGUCGGCCUGCGCGGAAGAUGUAACGGGGCUAAACCAUGCACCGAAGCUGCGGCAGCGACGCUUAUGCGUUGUUGGGUAGGGGAGCGUUCUGUAAGCCUGCGAAGGUGUGCUGUGAGGCAUGCUGGAGGUAUCAGAAGUGCGAAUGCUGACAUAAGUAACGAUAAAGCGGGUGAAAAGCCCGCUCGCCGGAAGACCAAGGGUUCCUGUCCAACGUUAAUCGGGGCAGGGUGAGUCGACCCCUAAGGCGAGGCCGAAAGGCGUAGUCGAUGGGAAACAGGUUAAUAUUCCUGUACUUGGUGUUACUGCGAAGGGGGACGGAGAAGGCUAUGUUGGCCGGGCGACGGUUGUCCCGGUUUAAGCGUGUAGGCUGGUUUUCCAGGCAAAUCCGGAAAAUCAAGGCUGAGGCGUGAUGACGAGGCACUACGGUGCUGAAGCAACAAAUGCCCUGCUUCCAGGAAAAGCCUCUAAGCAUCAGGUAACAUCAAAUCGUACCCCAAACCGACACAGGUGGUCAGGUAGAGAAUACCAAGGCGCUUGAGAGAACUCGGGUGAAGGAACUAGGCAAAAUGGUGCCGUAACUUCGGGAGAAGGCACGCUGAUAUGUAGGUGAAGUCCCUCGCGGAUGGAGCUGAAAUCAGUCGAAGAUACCAGCUGGCUGCAACUGUUUAUUAAAAACACAGCACUGUGCAAACACGAAAGUGGACGUAUACGGUGUGACGCCUGCCCGGUGCCGGAAGGUUAAUUGAUGGGGUCAGCGCAAGCGAAGCUCUUGAUCGAAGCCCCGGUAAACGGCGGCCGUAACUAUAACGGUCCUAAGGUAGCGAAAUUCCUUGUCGGGUAAGUUCCGACCUGCACGAAUGGCGUAAUGAUGGCCAGGCUGUCUCCACCCGAGACUCAGUGAAAUUGAACUCGCUGUGAAGAUGCAGUGUACCCGCGGCAAGACGGAAAGACCCCGUGAACCUUUACUAUAGCUUGACACUGAACAUUGAGCCUUGAUGUGUAGGAUAGGUGGGAGGCUUAGAAGUGUGGACGCCAGUCUGCAUGGAGCCGACCUUGAAAUACCACCCUUUAAUGUUUGAUGUUCUAACGUUGACCCGUGAUCCGGGUUGCGGACAGUGUCUGGUGGGUAGUUUGACUGGGGCGGUCUCCUCCUAAAGAGUAACGGAGGAGCACGAAGGUUGGCUAAUCCUGGUCGGACAUCAGGAGGUUAGUGCAAUGGCAUAAGCCAGCUUGACUGCGAGCGUGACGGCGCGAGCAGGUGCGAAAGCAGGUCAUAGUGAUCCGGUGGUUCUGAAUGGAAGGGCCAUCGCUCAACGGAUAAAAGGUACUCCGGGGAUAACAGGCUGAUACCGCCCAAGAGUUCAUAUCGACGGCGGUGUUUGGCACCUCGAUGUCGGCUCAUCACAUCCUGGGGCUGAAGUAGGUCCCAAGGGUAUGGCUGUUCGCCAUUUAAAGUGGUACGCGAGCUGGGUUUAGAACGUCGUGAGACAGUUCGGUCCCUAUCUGCCGUGGGCGCUGGAGAAUUGAGGGGGGCUGCUCCUAGUACGAGAGGACCGGAGUGGACGCAUCACUGGUGUUCGGGUUGUCAUGCCAAUGGCACUGCCCGGUAGCUAAAUGCGGAAGAGAUAAGUGCUGAAAGCAUCUAAGCACGAAACUUGCCCCGAGAUGAGUUCUCCCUGACUCCUUGAGAGUCCUGAAGGAACGUUGAAGACGACGACGUUGAUAGGCCGGGUGUGUAAGCGCAGCGAUGCGUUGAGCUAACCGGUACUAAUGAACCGUGAGGCUUAACCUUACAACGCCGAAGGUGUUU